GAUGAAGAACGCAGCGAAAUGCGAUAAGUAAUGUGAAUUGCAGAAUUCAGUGAAUCAUCGAAUCUUUGAACGCACAUUGCGCCCCCUGGUAUUCCGGGGGGCAUGCCUGUCCGAGCGUCAUUACAACCCUCAAGCUCAGCUUGGUGUUGGGCCCCGCCGCCCCGGCGGGCCCUAAAGUCAGUGGCGGUGCCGUCCGGCUCCGAGCGUAGUAAUUCUUCUCGCUCUGGAGGUCCGGUCGUGUGCUCGCCAGCAACCCCCAAUUUUUUUCAGGUUGACCUCGGAUCAGGUAGGGAUACCCGCUGAACUUAAGCAUAUCAAUAAGUGGAGGA
RNAcentral lists this unclassified non-coding RNA (329 nucleotides) under soil metagenome. Its description in RNAcentral is "partial contains 5.8S ribosomal RNA, internal transcribed spacer 2, and large subunit ribosomal RNA". The stretch from base 1 to 120 matches the Rfam family "5.8S ribosomal RNA", at positions 35 to 154 of the family's 154-position model. The record is from RNAcentral.